This 744-nucleotide ribosomal RNA is filed under the name uncultured bacterium. RNAcentral's name for it is "bacterial SSU rRNA". It matches the Rfam family "Bacterial small subunit ribosomal RNA", at positions 32 to 766 of the family's 1533-position model. The record is from RNAcentral.
AACGCUGGCGGCGUGUCUUAGCAUGCAAGUUGAGCGGCAAGGGGGAGCGAUCUCCCCUAGAGCGGCGGACUGGUGAGUAACGCGUGGGUAAUCUGCCUUUGGCAUGGGGAUAGCCACUAGAAAUAGUGGGUAAUACCGGAUACGUUCCACGAGGGGAGGACUUGUGGAAGAAAGGCGCUAUGGCGCCGGCCGAAGAUGAGCUCGCGUCCCAUUAGCUAGUUGGUGAGGUAAGGGCCCACCAAGGCGAUGAUGGGUAGCCGGCCUGAGAGGGUGUACGGCCACACUGGGACUGAGAUACGGCCCAGACUCCUACGGGAGGCAGCAGCUAAGAAUAUUCCGCAAUGGACGAAAGUCUGACGGAGCGACGCCGCGUGGAUGAAGAAGGCCGAAAGGUUGUAAAGUUCUUUUGCUGGGGAAGAAUAAGUGUGGGAGGGAAUGCCCGCACGAUGACAUGAACCGGUGAAUAAGCCCCGGCCAACUACGUGCCAGCAGCCGCGGUAACACGUAGGGGGCGAGCGUUGUUCGGAAUUACUGGGCGUAAAGGGCAUGUAGGCGGUCUGGUAAGCCUGGCGUGAAAGUCUGCAGCUUAACUGCAGGGGUGCGCUGGGAACUGCUGGGCUUGAGUGACAGAGAGGGAGCUGGAAUUCCUGGUGUAGGGGUGAAAUCUGUAGAUAUCAGGAAGAACACCGAUGGCGAAGGCAAGCUCCUGGCCGAUGACUGACGCUGAGGUGCGAAAGUGUGGGG